GGGUUGUGAGGUUAAGCGACUAAGCGUACACGGUGGAUGCCUAGGCAAUCAGAGGCGAUGAAGGACGUGCUAAUCUGCGAAAAGCGUCGGUAAGGUGAUAUGAACCGUUAUAACCGACGAUGUCCGAAUGGGGAAACCCAGUGCAAUUCGUUGCACUAUCGUUUGAUGAAUCCAUAGUCAAACGAGGCGAACCGGGGGAACUGAAACAUCUCAGUACCCCGAGGAAAAGAAAUCAACCGAGAUUCCCCUAGUAGCGGCGAGCGAACGGGGAGCAGCCCAGAGUCUUAAUCAGCAUCAGCAUCAGGAGAACGGUCUGGAAAGGCCGGCAAUAAAGGGUGAUAGCCCCGUAUCCGAAGGUGUUGGUGUUGUGAACUCGACGAGUAGGGCGGGACACGUGUUAUCCUGUCUGAAUAUGGGGGGACCAUCCUCCAAGGCUAAAUACUCCUGAUUGACCGAUAGUGAACCAGUACCGUGAGGGAAAGGCGAAAAGAACCCCGGCGAGGGGAGUGAAAUAGAACCUGAAACCGUGUACGUACAAGCAGUGGGAGCCUUGAUUUAUCAGGGUGACUGCGUACCUUUUGUAUAAUGGGUCAGCGACUUAUAUUCUGUAGCAAGGUUAACCGAAUAGGGGAGCCGUAGGGAAACCGAGUCUUAACUGGGCGAAUGAGUUGCAGGGUAUAGACCCGAAACCCGGUGAUCUAGCCAUGGGCAGGUUGAAGGUUGGGUAACACUAACUGGAGGACCGAACCGACUAAUGUUGAAAAAUUAGCGGAUGACUUGUGGCUGGGGGUGAAAGGCCAAUCAAACCGGGAGAUAGCUGGUUCUCCCCGAAAGCUAUUUAGGUAGCGCCUCGUGAACUCAUCUUCGGGGGUAGAGCACUGUUUCGGCUAGGGGGUCAUCCCGACUUACCAACCCGAUGCAAACUACGAAUACCGAAGAAUGUUAUCACGGGAGACACACGGCGGGUGCUAACGUUCGUCGUGAAGAGGGAAACAACCCAGACCGCCAGCUAAGGUCCCAAAGUCAUGGUUAAGUGGGAAACGAAGUGGGAAGGCUCAGACAGCCAGGAUGUUGGCUUAGAAGCAGCCAUCAUUUAAAGAAAGCGUAAUAGCUCACUGGUCGAGUCGGCCUGCGCGGAAGAUGUAACGGGGCUAAACCAUGCACCGAAGCUGCGGCAGCGACAUGUAAAUGUUGUUGGGUAGGGGAGCGUUCUGUAAGCCUGUGAAGGUGUGCUGCGAGGCAUGCUGGAGGUAUCAGAAGUGCGAAUGCUGACAUAAGUAACGAUAAUGCGGGUGAAAAACCCGCACGCCGGAAGACCAAGGGUUCCUGUCCAACGUUAAUCGGGGCAGGGUGAGUCGACCCCUAAGGCGAGGCAGAAAUGCGUAGUCGAUGGGAAACAGGUUAAUAUUCCUGUACUGGUGAUAAUUGCGAUGGGGGGACGGAGAAGGCUAGGCUGGCCGGGCGACGGUUGUCCCGGUUUAAGGAUGUAGGUGGGCGAAUUAGGCAAAUCCGGUUCGCUAUACACUGAGGUCUGAUGACGAGUCACUACGGUGGCGAAGUAGCUCAUGCCCCGCUUCCAGGAAAAGCCUCUAAGCUCUAGAUUAUCAUUAAUCGUACCCCAAACCGACACAGGUGGUCAGGUAGAGAAUACUCAGGCGCUUGAGAGAACUCGGGUGAAGGAACUAGGCAAAAUGGUGCCGUAACUUCGGGAGAAGGCACGCUGGCAUUAGGUGAAGUGGUUUACCCAUGGAGCUGAAGCCAGUCGCAGAUACCAGCUGGCUGCAACUGUUUAUUAAAAACACAGCACUGUGCAAACACGAAAGUGGACGUAUACGGUGUGACGCCUGCCCGGUGCUGGAAGGUUAAUUGAUGGGGUUAUCCGUAAGGAGAAGCUCUUGAUCGAAGCCCCAGUAAACGGCGGCCGUAACUAUAACGGUCCUAAGGUAGCGAAAUUCCUUGUCGGGUAAGUUCCGACCUGCACGAAUGGCGUAAUGAUGGCCAGGCUGUCUCCACCCGAGACUCAGUGAAAUUGAACUCGCUGUGAAGAUGCAGUGUACCCGCGGCAAGACGGAAAGACCCCGUGAACCUUUACUAUAGCUUGACACUGAACAUUGAGCCUUGAUGUGUAGGAUAGGUGGGAGGCUUUGAAGUGUGGACGCCAGUCUGCAUGGAGCCAACCUUGAAAUACCACCCUUUAAUGUUUGAUGUUCUAACGUAGCCCCAUAAUCUGGGGUGCGGACAGUGUCUGGUGGGUAGUUUGACUGGGGCGGUCUCCUCCCAAAGCGUAACGGAGGAGCACGAAGGUUGGCUAAGCAUGGUCGGACAUCAUGCGGUUAGUGCAAAGGCAUAAGCCAGCUUGACUGCGAGAGUGACGGCUCGAGCAGGUACGAAAGUAGGUCUUAGUGAUCCGGUGGUUCUGAAUGGAAGGGCCAUCGCUCAACGGAUAAAAGGUACUCCGGGGAUAACAGGCUGAUACCGCCCAAGAGUUCAUAUCGACGGCGGUGUUUGGCACCUCGAUGUCGGCUCAUCACAUCCUGGGGCUGAAGUAGGUCCCAAGGGUAUGGCUGUUCGCCAUUUAAAGUGGUACGCGAGCUGGGUUUAGAACGUCGUGAGACAGUUCGGUCCCUAUCUGCCGUGGGCGUUGGAAGAUUGAAAGGGGCUGCUCCUAGUACGAGAGGACCGGAGUGGACGCACCGCUGGUGUUCGGGUUGUCAUGCCAAUGGCACUGCCCGGUAGCUAAGUGCGGAAGAGAUAACCGCUGAAAGCAUCUAAGCGGGAAACUUGCCUUGAGAUGAGUCUUCCCUGACUCUUUAAGGGUCCUAAAGGAACGUUUAAGACGAAGACGUUGAUAGGCUGGGUGUGUAAGCGUAGCGAUACGUUGAGCUAACCAGUACUAAUGAACCGUGAGGCUUAACCUGACAACACCGAAGGUGUUUUAG
This 2939-nucleotide ribosomal RNA is filed under the name Providencia stuartii. RNAcentral's name for it is "23S ribosomal RNA". It matches the Rfam family "Bacterial large subunit ribosomal RNA". The record is from RNAcentral. Lineage: Bacteria; Pseudomonadati; Pseudomonadota; Gammaproteobacteria; Enterobacterales; Morganellaceae.